UAGCACUAGUUUUGAACACAUUUGUAAGCGUUACACUGUGCCCCUUGUCCAAAAGGAAGUACAAGCCAAUACAGCGUGUGCUGUGAUCCGUCAAUUUUUAUCAAACUGGAAAGCACAUGCUCUAUACUUCCAGCCACAAUGGGAUGCUCUAAAACCAGCCCCCCCUUCCACUGGCUUGUGGUUUUGAAGGAAUGUUUAUCUUGCGUUUUUUACUGGAAGUUAUAACUGACACUUUGUGGCAUGCAUGUACUAUAAUAAUACAUGGCUACGAACAUGGCUACGAUAAAAAUAAUGAGGUGGACGUCUGCAUGCAAUGGUUGAUGGUGCAACAUGUGCAACAUGUACAAAGUGCUGUCUCAUCAUGCCAAUGAUGAAAUAUGCAACUCAGCUCUCACCUCUCACCCUCCACUCGUCCAGCCUGUGACCCAUAGAGAUUAGUAUUAAUAAAUAAUUAUACAUUACCUAGACAACCAAUUUCCUCCUCAUCGCAGUUGUGGAAAAGAGCGAACACCACAGAAUGCAUGAUAGCAGGACCUGCUGCCAAGUGAUGUCCAGCGUAAGCAUGUUAUAAUUAAUAUAUAAUAUUGUACCUGGAGGACGUGGUUUCCCACAAACGUUCCUCGGCUUCGAAGGCAAUGUCUAGGGCUUUACGAAUGGACCGUCCUCUCGCUUAAACAACAAAGUUGUUAGUGCUGAUCCGUCCUAAAGAUAUCAGUGUCCUAAAGAUAUAAUUAUGUAUUGCGUUCCAAUUAACUUUCUUUGCUUUCACUUCUAGCUCUGAGCGGAGCUCUGGAUCAUCCUCCUCCUCAGAGCAGUUAUGUGAAUUUUGUAUGUGAAAGGUAUGUAUAACUAAGUUGUUAGAAGCACCUGACAGCCCAUAUAUAUAGCCCAUAUAUAUUGCACAGGAACUCCUCUGUACACGUAUAUAUAUUGUAUUUAACGUCGUACCUCGUGUGAAGGUUGUCCACCUGAUCCUGAAAUAGGUUAGUGAUGUUAUCAGGAGCAUUGGGGUGAAAACUCAUUUUGAAGCUCCCUCCUCCCUUAAUCUUUACCAUCCCUCCCUUCGUGCCAGAUUAGUCGGUGCACUCUAAAUAGAUCGUGAUUGUCGGGUAGUAGGAUUUACUAUCACUCUUAUAAUGUUCUUGCAUGGGUGGCAAAAGCAGGGUGAAUGCCUAUUUUAACCGCGCAAGAACUUUUCUUCUGUUUAAAGAAAGAUCCACAAACCGCUCAUCACCGCUGUUUCACAACAAUGAAAAUUCACCACUUAGUUUAUCAGGAUGUAGUACAUGAUUAUGACAAGAUAAUACAUUCCUCCAAACCACAAACCAGUGGAAGUGGGGGCUGGUUUUGGAGCAUCCCAUUGUGGAAGGGGAUUCCUAAGUAUGUGAAAAAUGUGACUGUGCUGGAAGUAUAGUCCAGCACAGAGCAUGUGCUUUCCAUAGAUACCAGUUUGAUAAAAAUUGACAGAUCACUGCACAAGCUGUGUUGGCUUGUACAAGUACAUCAUUUUGGACAAGGGGUACAGUGCCUCCAGCAAAGAAGCGCUUCUGUCACCAUCUGUGUUUCCUAAAACUAGUGAGCAGCAGUUACUUGAAAAGAAAGUCCUGAGGGGGACGUCUGCAUGCAAUGGUUGAUGGUGCAACGUGUACGAAGUGCUGUCUCAUCAUGCAUCUUAAUCUGUCUACACCAUUCGGGAUGAUGCCUUUAUAUUGUUGAAAUAGGCAUGAAUGGACUCAGCUCCUUGCUCUCCCAUCAAUCCCAAUCCCACUCGCCACUCGUUAAGCCAGUCAACCACAUGCGUUUCAAGCAUGUGCACUUUGGGAAUCACACUUGCAUCGGGAAAUUGCUCCCGAUAAAAGCUCAUGAAGUUGUGGAAUAGAGCAAACACCACAGAAUAUUUCCUGUGUAUCCUCUCAGCUCGCUGCAUGAUAGCAGGACGAUAAUGUCCUGCUGUAAACACCGCAUUGCAGAGAGUCACCGUGUUCUCAGGCUGUAGAGAGAGCGCCGCAUAAGCUCGAUUUCUUCUAACUCUGAGCGGAGGGCUUGCAGCUCCUCAUCCUCACCAAACACAUGUAAGGAUAGUAACCUGUCUAUCUCAUCUUUGAGGAUCCUCGCUCUAGUAACGUCGCCCACAUAGUUGGAGUAACUGGGGCCCCCCUUGUCGCAACUAUCCUCCUCAUCUCGAACAGCCACGUCCAGCACAUGGCACUCAUCUUCUAGCAACUGGAAGAGGCGAUAGAAUAUGCCUAGAGUUAUGUGGAGUCCUGGUGGGCAAAUCAACAUCAUUUUAGGAAUAAAGUCAUGGCUGCAAGAAAUCUCUGGUGAUCUUGUACGAUACUAUCAGUACUUCUGCUCGGAAUAUUGGCGGGAGGGUUCUUCAGUUGGUCCGAUGUCACCAAGCACCACAAGCAGUUAUGUCGACCUAUUCAAUUUUUUGUGUGAAAGCCCAAACAUAUAGCACAAGAACUCAUAGUCGCCACUUAGGAAGACCCGGAUUGUGUUUCCUCUGUACAGGUUGUCCACCUGAUCCUGAAAUCGCUCCAGUGCAAUUUUGAGGUUUGUUAUGUUAUCAGGCGCCUCAAACACGCAAAAAGCACAGGUGUUGACAGGGGAGUUGGGGUGAUCAACAUUGCAUAUUUGAAAACUCAUCUUGAAGCUCCCUCCUCCCUUGUCUCCACACAGCUUUACCCAGAUUUCAUUCUCGGGUAUCCUCCCUUCGUGCCAGGGAAUGUGAAUGGAACAAGCUCAGACUUAAGGUUAUCAACCCCUGCCAGUGACUCUGCCUCUGCUCUCAUUUUCUUCUCUCAUUUUCUUCUCAGAAGCAAUUUUGAUGUUAGGUCCCAGCAUUCUUCAAAGAAAAAAGAAAUAAGGUAUCAUCAGGACUGACUGCAUCCCCAGGCUUGCUGUAACAGAAAACUCCACUUGAAAGCACCCUGUUGUGUUUCUGAGCUCCUCGACCAGUCUCUCUCGGUCUUCCUUGGUCUUCCUUCCCAAUCACCUUGACUUCGUUACACAUCUGUGCUACCUCCUCUCCACCACUCACUCGCUUUCUUGUAAUGAGGAGCUCACUGCUGCGGCUCUCAGGGUGGUCUGGCUCGCACUCCCACUAGAAACUCUUGGUGAGCUCACUUGCACCAUUGUGCGAGGCUGUAAAUAAUGUUAUGUGCGGCAUAAUAAUAAUAAUAAUAAUAAUUUUGUUCCUACCUGUCCCCCUGUCUUUACUACUAGAGUUUGAGAAUGGUGCAUACUGCGCUUAAUGAAACUUGACUGCAGUUUCUCCUCGAGAGGCGUCAAAGACAUUUCUUGUGGUCUGAUCAAGAGGUCGGAAGGGCGGAGUGGGACAGGCUUAAAGUGUGUGCACUCACACUUGCUGUCAAAUGUGACUUCAGGUGGAGAGGUAAUCAAAUUGAGAUCGUAUAGAUGGUCUAAAUGGCAACAGGGACAUGAUGGGGUCCGGGAAAUUUCGAGACACUUGCACAAACAAUCGGCACAUACAAGAUUAUUGCACUCUUUCAGCUCGAUUGGCUUGUUGACAAUCUCCAAACAGAUAGGGCAGUCAAAUAUAUCGUGUUGAGUAAUCACAUUGUUUUGCUGGCAGAAGGCCGGAGGUGCAAUGGACUUAACGUGCGUUAUUGCUGACUGAAAAGAAUUUUUCCCUGGUCUACCAGGAUUAUUCUGUUUCUUUGGCCUUCCACCAACACUGAGAUCAGCCUUAUGGCCCGAGCAAGAAAUCUUACGAUUCUGGGAGCCUUUUUUCUUUUUGAAGAAAGACCCACAAACCCGGCAGUGCUUUGAGAGCUCAACUCAAUGCUCUUCACUCAUUGUACGAUCGUAUAGUCCUGAAG
Molecule: long non-coding RNA, 3845 nt
Organism: Halichondria panicea
Lineage: Eukaryota; Metazoa; Porifera; Demospongiae; Suberitida; Halichondriidae
Exons: 12
Source: RefSeq, a predicted model, not a curated record